AACCUUUGCUGGGACUUCUGAAACCAACCAUUGAAGGACACGAGAAGUCAAUAGAAAAGAAAAUGGACAUAAAAAAGGAAAGAAAAUGCAAUCGGACCAAAGAAGUGAAAAAGAAAUUAAGGAAAAAAAAAGAAAACCAACCUGUGACUGCAUGAGAAGCCGAGAUGGUGGAUUGAAAGAGAGCCAUCGAUGACCCAAGAAAAUUGAGAGAGAUGACCAGA
Molecule: long non-coding RNA, 221 nt
Filed under: Elaeis guineensis (African oil palm)
Lineage: Eukaryota; Viridiplantae; Streptophyta; Magnoliopsida; Arecales; Arecaceae
Description: long non-coding RNA (EGUI_LNC053339)
Source: RNAcentral